Molecule: ribosomal RNA, 253 nt
Filed under: uncultured bacterium
Lineage: Bacteria
Description: partial 16S ribosomal RNA
Rfam family: Bacterial small subunit ribosomal RNA
Source: RNAcentral
UACGUAGGGUGCGAGCGUUAAUCGGAAUUACUGGGCGUAAAGCGUGCGCAGGCGGUUCUGAAAGUCAGCUGUGGAAGCCCCGGGCUUAACCUGGGAACUGCGGUUGAAACUACAGGACUAGAAUCUGGCAGAGGGGGGUGGAAUUCCACGUGUAGCAGUGAAAUGCGUAGAGAUGUGGAGGAACACCGAUGGCGAAGGCAGCCCCCUGGGCUGAGAUUGACGCUCAGGCACGAAAGCGUGGGGAGCAAACAGG